GCCAGGUGUGGUGGCAUGCGCCUGUAAUCCCAGCCGUUUGGGAGGCUGAGGCAGGAGGAUUAUGAGUUCAAAGCCAGCCUCAGCAAUUUAGUGAAACCCUAAGCAAUUCAGUGAGACCCUGUCUCUA
RNAcentral lists this small RNA (127 nucleotides) under Marmota monax (woodchuck). Lineage: Eukaryota; Metazoa; Chordata; Mammalia; Rodentia; Sciuridae. The record is from RNAcentral.